Molecule: non-coding RNA, 24 nt
Filed under: Arabidopsis thaliana (thale cress)
Lineage: Eukaryota; Viridiplantae; Streptophyta; Magnoliopsida; Brassicales; Brassicaceae
Source: RNAcentral
GGAGCAUGUGCAGUACACCUUGAG